CCUACGGGAGGCAGCAGUGGGGAAUAUUGGGCAAUAGGCGCAAGCCUGACCCAGCAAUGCCGCGUGAAGGAAGAAGGCUUUCGGGUUGUAAACUUCUUUGACAGGGGAAGAGCAGAAGACGGUACCCUGAAAACAAGCCACGGCUAACUACGUGCCAGCAGCCGCGGUAAUACGUAGGUGGCAAGCGUUGUCCGGAUUUACUGGGUGUAAAGGGCGUGUAGCCGGGACGGCAAGUCAGAUGUGAAAUCUGGAGGCUCAACCUCCAAAUUGCAUUUGAAACUGUUUUUCUUGAGUACUGGAGAGGCAGACGGAAUUCCUUGUGUAGCGGUGAAAUGCGUAGAGAUAAGGAGGAACACCAGGGGCGAAGGCGGUCUGCUGGACAGCAACUGACGGUGAGGCGCGAAAGCGUGGGGAGCAAACAGGAUUAGAUACCCCGGUAGUC
RNAcentral lists this ribosomal RNA (442 nucleotides) under uncultured bacterium. RNAcentral describes it as "partial 16S ribosomal RNA". It matches the Rfam family "Bacterial small subunit ribosomal RNA", at positions 338 to 795 of the family's 1533-position model. The record is from RNAcentral.